This 119-nucleotide ribosomal RNA is filed under the name Opisthocomus hoazin. RNAcentral also lists the same sequence under 1 other name. Lineage: Eukaryota; Metazoa; Chordata; Aves; Opisthocomiformes; Opisthocomidae. The record is from RNAcentral.
GCCUACGGCCAUACCACCCUGAGAACGCCCGAUCUCGUCUGAUCUCGGAAGCCAAGCAGGGUCGGGCCCGGUUAGUACUUGGAUGGGAGACCGCCUGGGAAUACCGGGUGCUGUAGGCU